Molecule: ribosomal RNA, 463 nt
Filed under: uncultured bacterium
Lineage: Bacteria
Description: bacterial SSU rRNA
Rfam family: Bacterial small subunit ribosomal RNA
Source: RNAcentral
AUGAACGCUGGCGGCGUGCUUAAGACAUGCAAGUCGUACGUGAAAGUCCCGCAAGGGAUGAGUAAAGUGGCGCACGGGUGAGUAAUACUUAGGUAACGUGCCUCUUUGCUGGGGAUAACCAGGCGAAAGCUUGGCUAAUACCGAAUAUCCGACAGAAACCUCGGUUUUUGUUGGGAAAGCCGUAAGGCGCGAAGAGUGCGGCCUGAGUCCCAUUAGCUAGUUGGUGAGGUAACGGCUCACCAAGGCUUCAAUGGGUAGCUGGUCUGAGAGGAUGAUCAGCCACACUGGUACUGGAACACGGACCAGACUCCUACGGGAGGCAGCAGUUAGGAAUCUUGCGCAAUGGGCGAAAGCCUGACGCAGCAACGCCGCGUGAGGGAUGAAGGCCUUCGGGUCGUAAACCUCUUUUGGUGGGGACAAAAAAAAUGAUGGUACCCACAGAAAAAGCACCGGCUAACUCUGU